CCUACGGGAGGCAGCAGUGAGGAAUAUUGGUCAAUGGACGAGAGUCUGAACCAGCCACGUCGCGUGAAGGAUGACUGCCCUAUGGGUUGUAAACUUCUUUUAUAAAGGAAUAAAACGAGGCUCGUGCGCCUUUUUGCAUGUACUUUAUGAGCAAGGAUCGGCUAACUCCGCGCCAGCAGCCGCGGUAAUACGGAGGAUCCGAGCGUUAUCCGGAUUUAUUGGGUUUAAAGGGAGCGUAGAUGGGUUGUUAAGUCAGUUGUGAAAGUUUGCGGCUCAACCGUAGAAUUGCAAUUGAUACUGGCAGUCUUGAGUACAGUAGAGGUAGGCGGAAUUCGUGGUGUAGCGGUGAAAUGCUUAGAUAUCACGAAGAACCCCGAUUGCGAAGGCAACUUACUGGACUGUAACUGACAUUGAGGCUCGAAAGUGUGGGUAUCAAACAGGAUUAGAUACCCCUGUAGUC
This 460-nucleotide ribosomal RNA is filed under the name uncultured bacterium. Its description in RNAcentral is "partial 16S ribosomal RNA". It matches the Rfam family "Bacterial small subunit ribosomal RNA", at positions 338 to 795 of the family's 1533-position model. The record is from RNAcentral.